This 478-nucleotide ribosomal RNA is filed under the name uncultured bacterium. Its description in RNAcentral is "partial 16S ribosomal RNA". It matches the Rfam family "Bacterial small subunit ribosomal RNA", at positions 28 to 523 of the family's 1533-position model. The record is from RNAcentral.
GACGAACGCUGGCGGCGUGCUUAACACAUGCAAGUCGAGCGAUGAAGUUCCUUCGGGAAUGGAUUAGCGGCGGACGGGUGAGUAACACGUGGGUAACCUGCCUCAUAGAGGGGAAUAGCCUUUCGAAAGGAAGAUUAAUACCGCAUAAGAUUGUAGUAUCGCAUGAUACAGCAAUUAAAGGAGUAAUCCGCUAUGAGAUGGACCCGCGUCGCAUUAGCUAGUUGGUGAGGUAACGUCGCGCCCAGGCGACGAUGCGUAGCCGACCUGAGAGGGUGAUCGGCAACAAUGGGGCUGAGGCACGGCCCAGACUCGCCCGGGAGGCAGCAGUGGGGAAUAUUGCACAAUGGGGUAAACCCUGAUGCAGCAACGCCGCGUGAGUGAUGACGGGCUUCGGAUUGUAAAACUCUGUCUUCAGGGACGAUAAUGACGGUACCUGAGGGGGAAGCCACGGCUAACUACGUGCCAGCCGCCGCAGUAA